This is a long non-coding RNA of Xenia sp. Carnegie-2017, 418 nucleotides long. RefSeq lists it as uncharacterized. The transcript has 3 exons. NCBI's taxonomy places the organism in Eukaryota, Metazoa, Cnidaria, Anthozoa, Malacalcyonacea, Xeniidae. The record is from RefSeq and is a predicted model, not a curated record.
GUUCAACUGUCAUUAAUUGAGUUCACUCAUUAAAGUCUAGAGGAGAACUACUACCAAGAAGUACACUGAUAAAUGUUUGGAAGACGAGUAUCUAGACUGAUGCCACAAGUGUUAAGAAAUUAAUCAAAUUUUCCAAUGACAAAUUAAUAUCAAUUACUAAAAUUUGAAUAAAGUUUGUAUACAAAAUAAAGAGCAAUGAUAUUCAAGCAGAAAAUAUCAAACUAAGAAAAAAUACCAACAUUGAGCGUGUAGCAGCAUCGAGCAUUAAAGAGUUGGCUCACAUUCUCCUUACAAAGGAACAUGAUUCUUUCAAAUACAUUCUGACAUACAAAAUGUCCCAAGACCACCUUGAGCUGCUGUUUGCAUGCAUACGUGGUAAGAAUGGCUUCAACAAUAAUCCAGAUAUUGUACAAUUUAA